RNAcentral lists this ribosomal RNA (455 nucleotides) under Campylobacter gracilis. RNAcentral describes it as "bacterial SSU rRNA". It matches the Rfam family "Bacterial small subunit ribosomal RNA", at positions 29 to 500 of the family's 1533-position model. Lineage: Bacteria; Pseudomonadati; Campylobacterota; Epsilonproteobacteria; Campylobacterales; Campylobacteraceae. The record is from RNAcentral.
AGUGAACGCUGCGGCGUGCUAAUACAUGCAAGUCGAACGGAAUUUAAAAGAGCUUGCUCUUUUGAAUUUAGUGGCGCACGGGUGAGUAAUAUAUAGCUAAUCUGCCCCUUGCUGGAGGACAACAGCUAGAAAUGACUGCUAAUACUCCAUACUCCUUUUUACCAUAAGAUAAAUCGGGAAAGAAUUUCGGCAAGGGAUGAGACUAUAUCGUAUCAGCUAGUCGGUGGGGUAACGGCCUACCGAGGCUAUGACGCGCAACUGGUCUGAGAGGAUGAUCAGUCACAUUGGAACUGAGACACGGUCCAAACUCCUACGGGAGGCAGCAGUAGGGAAUAUUGCGCAAUGGGGGAAACCCUGACGCAGCAACGCCGCGUGGAGGAUGACACUUUUCGGAGCGUAAACUCCUUUUGUUAGGGAAGAAUAAUGACGGUACCUAACGAAUAAGCACCGGCUAA